Molecule: non-coding RNA, 172 nt
Filed under: Saccharicrinis fermentans DSM 9555 = JCM 21142
Lineage: Bacteria; Pseudomonadati; Bacteroidota; Bacteroidia; Marinilabiliales; Marinilabiliaceae
Source: RNAcentral
UUGUGAGCACUACAAAUCUGAAAGAAGCCAUUAGUAAAGUUGAAGUAUUGGCGCACAGAAAUCUGAUAUAAGGCUUACUUGGUGGGGCAACCGAGCCAUAGAAUGGGAACGCCCAAAUAUUAACCGUAAUACCAUAAAGUAAAUCAGGCAGUACGCAACGAAAGAAUAUUAU